GAAAAACCCUUGUAAAACUAUUUUGACUAUUAUUAUUUUUUUGCAAAUUCUGGGUACUGUUAUUCCUUGGCUAAGUCAGACCUUAUUAGUUAUUAUUAUUACUGGCUGAGACAAGACCUCUAUAUUUUGGUUACUUGAGCAUCUCUCCUAUUUUUAUCCCUUUUCAGCCCAAAGAGACAAAGGAAAUUAUUUUGAAAUGUUGAUGGCAUCCGUGAGAGUUGAUCGCUUUUUAUUUUUUGAGCACUUUAUUCCUAGAUUUAUAAUCUGUGAAGGACUUUUCCUCUAUAUUUAAGCACCUUCCUGGUUUCCCAGUGUUCUGAGAAUCAGUAAUUAAUUACUUCUUUUACUAUGUAACCCUAUGCAGGUUUACUCAGAAGUAAAUUCCAUGGUGCUCAUUGGGACUUACUCCCAAGUAAGCGUGCAUAGGAUUAAUAGCAGAAAGCCAUUAGGAAUGUCAGUUUCAUGCCAGAGUUCAAAACAGUUGGUCACCUACCUAGCAAUCUGGGUUAAACUGAAAUUGACUUCAGAAAGUGGGCCAUCUUGGGUAUAAUAUCACACCAUGGUUUGCUCUAACUGCAACUUGAGGUGCAAUACCAUACAUGGUUGCUCAGAGACUUGGUCUCUGGCAAGUGAGUAUAGGAAUGCAGCCUCAGGCACCAAGCAUGAUUUGUGUUCCAGAUGUAGAGGAAAACCAUGGUUUGUGAGAUUGCCAUCUUUCCUUCACUUUCCCUGAGAAUUCAUAGCCAUUAUCCCCCAAAAAGCAGAUUCUUGACAAGAGGCCCAAGCUAUGGUUCGUUGGUUUAGAAAUAAAACCAAAGUUUGCCCACCCUCUCAAACAGUACUUUCAUAUCUCAGUGUGGAAGCUACUAGCAAACCAUUGUUUGUUGGAUGGCAUGGGUUCAGACAUCUUGAAAAACCAUGGUUUGCUGGUAAUUCUGAGUCAUCUCUAUGGGACAUCCCAGGGAUUUAAAAUCUGUUGAAUAGUCCACAAGCCAGUACAGUUAAAGUCAUUGUAUGUAAGCCAAAUUAAUCCCUUGGCUAUGGUAUCCACAAGGCUCUGAUAAAUGCUUGGACCAGGCAUAGGCAAACUCGGCCCUCCAGAUGUUUUGAGACUACAAUUCCCAUAAUCCCCGACCACUGGUCCUGUUAGCUAGGGAUGAUGGGAGUUGUAGUCCCAAAACAUCUGGAGGGUGGAGUUUGCCUAUGCCUGGCUUGGACUUUCCCAGGGGUAAAUCAUGGCUGCCACAUUCACUUCAGUGAUGGCCAAUACUCCAUCCAUCAACCAUUCUACGUUGCAAUACCUAUGGCAGCUUCUGCUGACCAGUGAUUCCAAGGGCCGUUUUCUGACAGAUUUAUGACUCAAUCUAAUUUUAUUUUAGACUGAACCCCCUCCCCCCGCCCUUUAUAUUUAAGAUGAUAGUCUUCAAAAAAUGAGAAACCUCAAGGAACAUAGAAAGCUGCCUUAUAUUGAGUCAAACCAGUCCAUACUGUCUUCCUAGCUCUCCAGGGCUUCAGGUAGGGGACAACUCCCAGCCAUACCUGGAAAUGUUGAGGAUUGAAUUUGGGACCUUCAACAUUCAAAGCAGAUACUUUCCCACUGAGUUAAUGGACUUUCCCAAAGAGAGCACAUUUGCCGUUUAUAUUUGUGAUUGGCUCUCAAGACUUUGACAUUAUUAUCAGUGCUAUCUUUCUAAAAAGAGAGGUGCCAGAACUCACCUUGUUCUCUUGUUAUGACAAUGGUGCCUACCUUGAGAGGUGUCGGAAGAAAAGCCCCGAAUAAUAAUAAUAUUACAGUCGUACCUUGGAAGUCGAACGGAAUCUGUUCCGGAUGUCCGUUCGACUUCCAAAACAUUCAGAAACAAAGCACAGCUUCUGAUUGGCUGCAGGAAGCUCCUGCAGCCAAUCGGAAUCCACGGAAGCCCCGUCAGAUGCUCGGGUUCCAAAGAACGUUUGCAAACUGGAACACUCACUUCCGGGUUUGUGGCGUUUGAAAGCCAAAACGUAUGAGGGUACCAAGGCGUUCAGGGUCCAAGGUACGACUGUAUUAUUUUAAAGUAAGAAAUAACACAAUAACAGAAACCGAAUUGAAAUCCCCACUACAGUUGAGAUGAAAUUGCUCAGAUUAUUGUAAAUGGAUUUUAUUUAUUUUUUUACUGGAAGAGACCGUGGCGGGAACCACAAUAUAUUCCAGGGAAAGUGACCCACCUGAUUUGGCUUCUGCACUCUUUAACCUUGAGAGCGACCUUUUACAUUUCCCUGAUAUGCCCUCACUCACAGAACUCAGCCCAGUGAUUCUUCAUAAGUGAGAACCUCUUGUUUUUCUGUGUCUGGCUUUGCCAACUUUGGCCAUCAUUUUUUUUUAUUAAAAAAAAAAAUACAAUGCCAAGUCAUUGCAAUUGGCUUUUAAAAAGCAUUCAAGCAAUAUGUUCUUGAUACCGACAAACCAUUUAUGAGCUAAGCAUGAAGCAUUGUGAUCUAGCCCUUCUAUGAUCUCUCCCCCCUCCAUGUGUUCCUCACUUUUAUUCCCAACCCCUAACAUACACUUGAUUUUUAUUGUCUGUGUUCCUUAUGGAUUUUUUGCCCUCCUGUUAUUGCACAGUAUUUGUGAAUUUUAAAAGGUAAAAUGUUUUUAAAUAAAUACCAAAUUUGGGUCCUAACGAUGACAUAAAACAAGUUUUCAUUAUUGAGAUAUUAUGGCACUUAUGCUCACUUUAGUAAAUGUAAUGUAAAAUAUUAAUAAUAUUGAUGAUGUGUACGCAAAUUUAAUAUACAUGGUCUCAUGUAAGAUAAAUAUUUGCCUUUUUUUCUAAAAGGUGUAUGUAUUCUGUAAGUGGAAUAGUCUUUAGAAAGUUUCUAUAUGUUCUUUAAAAAAAAAUGGCAAUACAUUCCAAAAAAGGUACUGUAAAUAUGUACAGACUCAGAGUACAAUGUAAUUUGGUAGUUUUGCCUGUAAUUUUAUUUUAAAUUCAGUUUCUACACUUGCAUCUUGCAAUGUCUGUAUGGUUAUAAGAGUGCAAAGCAAAAAAAAAAAAAAUGCAGGUAAAAAGCACAGAACAUAAUGUUAAGGAAAAAAAGAGAAAAAAAUACUCAGCAUUUGAUGUUUGUGAACUUUAUUGUAAAUGACAUCUGUACUGUGAAUGAAAAAAAAAGUUUUUACACGUAUAUUGCCUUUACUACAGUUCAGAUUGUCUAUUCAGUCUGAGCCUAUUUUUUAAAAAAACAGCACGUUGGAAUAAAUUUUAAAGUCCCAACAUA
Molecule: long non-coding RNA, 3255 nt
Filed under: Podarcis lilfordi (Lilford's wall lizard)
Lineage: Eukaryota; Metazoa; Chordata; Lepidosauria; Squamata; Lacertidae
Source: RNAcentral